RNAcentral lists this ribosomal RNA (377 nucleotides) under uncultured Bacillota bacterium. RNAcentral's name for it is "bacterial SSU rRNA". It matches the Rfam family "Bacterial small subunit ribosomal RNA", at positions 541 to 917 of the family's 1533-position model. Lineage: Bacteria; Bacillati; Bacillota. The record is from RNAcentral.
GUAUUGGGAUACUGGGUGUAAGGGCGUGUAGGCGGGGGUGACAAGUCAGAUGUGAAAUACCGCGGCUCAACUGCGGGGCUGCAUCUGAAACUGUUCUUCUUGAGUGUCGGAGAGGAAAGUGGAAUUCCCAGUGUAGCGGUGAAAUGCGUAGAGAUUGGGAGGAACACCAGUGGCGAAGGCGGCUUUCUGGACGACAACUGACGCUGAGGCGCGAAAGCGUGGGGAGCAAACAGGAUUAGAUACCCUGGUAGUCCACGCUGUAAACGAUGGAUACUAGGUGUAGGAGGUAUCGACCCCUUCUGUGCCGGAGUUAACACAAUAAGUAUCCCGCCUGGGGAGUACGGCCGCAAGGUUGAAACUCAAAGGAAAUUGACGGA